Centropristis striata (black sea bass) is the source of this 639-nucleotide long non-coding RNA. RefSeq lists it as uncharacterized. The record is from RefSeq and is a predicted model, not a curated record. NCBI's taxonomy places the organism in Eukaryota, Metazoa, Chordata, Actinopteri, Perciformes, Serranidae. The transcript is spliced from 3 exons.
CACUGAGCGGACGCACAGUGAGUGAGAGAAAUACGGACUUUUGCUUGGCUUUAACCUGCUUUUGGACAACCAUUUGGAUUACUUUUGGAUUACCUGUUGGACUACCUGCUUGGCGGAUCUACGUGGACUUGUUUUCAAAGCUUCCCACUCAGAGGCUUCUGAGAGCAAGACCCCACACACACCACACUUCAUUCAUUCUUGAUCUUAAAUUGAGAAUCACAUACUGAGAAUCACAUAGAACACAAACACAGCACACAACAUAAAAUACAUAGACCUAUACUGACCAUAAAUUAAUUCUCACAGACACACACACACACACACACACACACACACACACACACACACACACUCUUUGCAUUGUUUAUUGUUCCAGUGAUUGUUGAUAUUGUGUUUGUUCAAAUUUCACACUUUUACACUGCAUUGUGUACGUCUGUGAGAUAACCGUGUUUUGGAGUAUUUCUUCUUGAGUGUUUACAGCUUGGUGUAGGACGAGAUGCCGCGGAAGGGGAAGCGUUGCAGGGCCCAGAAGCAGCGAUGGAGCAAGCCGGACCAGGUGACCCAGCUGGAGACGCCGCCGCCAGCCCAGCCUUUCUGGACCCAGAAGGAUGGACCCAGCCCCUCCCAGUCUCCUGCUCAGAA